RNAcentral lists this ribosomal RNA (622 nucleotides) under Clostridioides difficile. RNAcentral's name for it is "bacterial LSU rRNA". It matches the Rfam family "Bacterial large subunit ribosomal RNA", at positions 2300 to 2925 of the family's 2925-position model. The record is from RNAcentral. Lineage: Bacteria; Bacillati; Bacillota; Clostridia; Peptostreptococcales; Peptostreptococcaceae.
ACGGAGGCGCUCAAAGGUUCUCUCAGUACGGUCGGAAAUCGUACGUAGAGUGUAAAGGCAAAAGAGAGCUUGAUUGCAAGACAUACAGGUCGAGCAAGGAUGAAAAUCGGACUUAGUGAUCCGGUGGUUCUGCGUGGAAGGGCCAUCGCUCAACGGAUAAAAGCUACCCUGGGGAUAACAGGCUUAUCUCCCCCAAGAGUCCACAUCGACGGGGAGGUUUGGCACCUCGAUGUCGGCUCAUCACAUCCUGGGGCUGUAGUAGGUCCCAAGGGUUGGGCUGUUCGCCCAUUAAAGUGGUACGCGAGCUGGGUUCAGAACGUCGUGAGACAGUUCGGUCCCUAUCCGUCGCAGGCGUAGGAAAUUUGAGAAGACCUGUCCUUAGUACGAGAGGACCGGGAUGGACGUACCUCUGGUGUACCAGUUGUCCUGCCAAGGGCAUGGCUGGGUAGCUAUGUACGGAAUGGAUAAGCGCUGAAAGCAUCUAAGCGCGAAGCCAACUUCAAGAUAAGAUUUCCCACCGCAAGGGUAAGACCCCAGAAAGACUAUCUGGUUGAUAGGUCGAAGGUGUAAGUGCAGCAAUGUAUUUAGCUUAUCGAUACUAAUAGGUCGAGGACUUGACCAA